GAGAAAUGGAAAUUGCUGUUUUAAAGGAGAAGAUAAUCAGUGAUGCUCCUUUUAUUCCUCUAGUGAUAUUUACUGUUGCAGCAAGCCAAGCAUUUGAGCAACGGUCUUCAGAUUGCUAAGUUGCUUAUAAUUCAGAAAUAUUUUAGACUCUGUAAAGGUUUAAUGGUGAAGCUGCUAUGAAGUCUUUAACUGUAAAAUUCAUACGUGUAGUCACUGUAGCACAAGUGCAAUAUCAUGCCAGAGAAUAGCUUUGCUACUGACAAAAUGAGUGGAGAAUUAAAUUAUUUUUUCCCUGCUUAUAGAAUUCAUUUAAUAAAUUCAAUUAUCUGUAACAGAACUGUGAUGUCUGAACUUAAAAGGUGUCGCUAUACCCCACCUUCUGUCAGAGGUCAUCUUAUUUUUUAAUUCAUACAGGUUGUAAAUCAGUCAUGGCAAUAAGGACAUGUGAAGAAGAGGAUCAAAAGAAAUUAUUCAGAGCUGGAGGAGAUCCUGUUCCAUGAAAAGUGGUAGAUCCUGAUAACCAGCCCUAAACUGGUUCUAAAUGGAUUGUUUUGCCAAUCCUUGGCAAUGCUGAAAUGCAAUGCAAACACUCAAAGGACUGCCUGAUAAGGAAAGCCCUGGUCUGUUCCUAUUUAGCAGCAUUAAUAAAGCUGGAAAGACAGGCUUUCAGGAUUUUAGGUUAACUGAGACCUGUCAAAGAAGGACUUUUUAAAGCACCUACAAAAUUCCCUUCAAGACAUCGAAGCAGAGUAACUGUUUGAGCAGGGUCUGCAGCAGUUUGCUCUCAGUAUCUCCACCAAGCACCUCUUAUAGCACUGAUAGGAAAGCAGGCUUUGUGAUUUUUCCUUCUGGAUCUGUUCUGAGGCAGCCAACAGAGAAGGAGUUAACUGCUGUCCUCUUUUCUGCUGUUCCUGGCUGAAGUUGCUGGCAUCCCAUCUGGUCCAGGCUGUCCGAGCUCUUCUAGCUGUCUCUGGGGAAGGUACUACAAUACCCAGGAAUUUUAACAAUCCUAAACAGAUUGGGGCCACAUAUGGAGCAAAAUGAUUAGAUUAGAAGAAAUCCAAUCACAUUUGCUGCUCCGGCGUUACACUUUUAAGCUGUCGGGAUCAGGCUUUCUGCUCAAUUAUGGGUAUUUUACAUGCAGUUGAGAUAAAGUUGUACCACUCAUCUCUGCUUCUUGUCCCCAUAGGACCAGUAUCCAUUUUAGUGUUUGAUUGUAGAAAUGUAAUGAAUAAGUUAGCGUUACAUCUAAUAAAAUGUGCCACUUUUGUUGUAAAUUGUCAUAGCAAUGCACUGUUUGUGACAGCCAUAGUUAUACUGCAAAGGAG
Meleagris gallopavo (turkey) is the source of this 1328-nucleotide non-coding RNA. NCBI's taxonomy places the organism in Eukaryota, Metazoa, Chordata, Aves, Galliformes, Phasianidae. The record is from RefSeq and is a predicted model, not a curated record.